RNAcentral lists this ribosomal RNA (655 nucleotides) under Lactobacillus sp. LQC 1937. RNAcentral describes it as "bacterial SSU rRNA". It matches the Rfam family "Bacterial small subunit ribosomal RNA", at positions 74 to 704 of the family's 1533-position model. Lineage: Bacteria; Bacillati; Bacillota; Bacilli; Lactobacillales; Lactobacillaceae. The record is from RNAcentral.
GAUGAUUUUGGAUCCGACUGAGUGGCGAACUGGUGAGUAAGCACGUGGGUAACCUGCCCAGAAGAAGGGGAUAACACCUGGAAACAGAUGCUAAUACCGUAUAACAACAAGAACCACAUGGUUCUUGUUUUGAAAGCUGGCCUUUGUGCUAGUGCUUCUGGAUGGACCCGCGGCGUAUUAGCUAGUUGGUGAGAUAAUAGCUCACCAAGGCAAUGAUACGUAGCAGACCUGAGAGGGUAAUCUGCCACAAUGGGACUGAGACACGGCCCAUCACUCCUACGGGAGGCAGCAGUAGGGAAUCUUUCCACAAUGGACGAAAGUCUGAUGGGAGCAACGCCGCGUGAGUGAAGAAGGGUUUCGGCUCGUAAAAACUCUGUUUGUUAGAGAAGAACAGCCGUGAGAGUAACUGCUCACGGUAUGACGGUAUCUAACCAGAAAGUCACGGCUAACUACGUGCCCAGCAGCCGCGGUAAUACGUAGGUGGCAAACGUUUGUCCGGAUUUAUUGGGCGUAAAGGGAGCGCAGGCGGUUUAUUAAGUCUGAUGUGAAAGCCUUCGGCUUAACCGGAGAAGUGCAUCGGAAACUGAUAAACUUAAGUGCAGAAAAGGAUAGUGGAACUUCAUGUGUAGCGGUGAAAUGCGUAGAUAUAUGAAGG